Molecule: unclassified non-coding RNA, 787 nt
Filed under: Haliotis rubra (blacklip abalone)
Lineage: Eukaryota; Metazoa; Mollusca; Gastropoda; Lepetellida; Haliotidae
Description: fibropellin-1-like, transcript variant X4
Source: RNAcentral
ACCAAAACUAGCUCUCCCCAUAUCUGUCUCUGCGCUGCCGGCUUCGGUGGAGCUACCUGUGCUGAUGCUCCGACUUGUACUGCUGACGAUAACUGCGAAAAUGGCGGCUCGUGCAACAAAACUGCAACGCCUUACGCAUGUGCAUGUGCUACUGGUUACACAGGAGACACUUGUGAUACGAGAUCUGGGUCCGUGCAGGUGACGUUCAUCAUCAAAUCAUUGUUGCUGACAACGUUUCUCAGUGUGCUCCUCAAGUAAUACGAUUUCCGUCUUUAGCCCACUGGAUGUGUGUUCUGUGUCGUAAUCUUUGUCUUCACGGAUACGUAUUCUGACGCGUUAGUUGCCACCUUGCGUAAAUAAUACCCAGAUAUUCGAAGCAGAUACUUGCUAUGAUCAAAAGACAGCAAAUACGUAAUGUUAAUUAUUUAUUUCAUUGUGUGAAAUACGUUUUUUCUAUUACAGUUAAAAACUGAUUUUUUAAUUACCCAUUAAAGAUGUAACCAUCGGUAAUUAUGUUUCAUAGACAUUUCUCAUGUUAUCACAUAGAAUGAAGCAGGGGUUUGAACGAUUCCUUCUGACAAAAUCUGAUGUUUACACAUAUUGCAGUGUGUUUUAUCAUCUCGCGUAAUAUUUAACAUUCAUUUCAGAAAAGUGGCACGGUAAUUGAAUAAUAAUUGCUUUCCUUUGAACUUAGAUUUCUAAUGCUCUGACAAAAUGUUCUGUGCCUUAAUGACGCGUUGAGCUCUUUCGAAGGUUCCGCUGAAAUAAACGACGCAGUUCAACAAUU